GACGAACGCUGGCGGCGUGCCUAAUACAUGCAAGUCGAGCGAAGUUUUUCUGGUGCUUGCACUAGAAAAACUUAGCGGCGAACGGGUGAGUAACACGUAAAGAACCUGCCUCAUUGACUGGGACAACUAUUGGAAACGAUAGCUAAUACCGGAUAACAGUAUUUCUCGCAUGAGAGAUAUUUAAAAGUUGGUUAUGCUAACACUAUGAGAUGGCUUUGCGGUGCAUUAGCUAGUUGGUGGGGUAAAGGCCCACCAAGGCGACGAUGCAUAGCCGACCUGAGAGGGUGAUCGGCCACACUGGGACUGAGACACGGCCCAGACUCCUACGGGAGGCAGCAGUAGGGAAUCUUCCGCAAUGGGCGAAAGCCUGACGGAGCAACGCCGCGUGAGUGAAGAAGGAUUUCGGUUCGUAAAGCUCUGUUGUUAGGGAAGAAUGGAUAUGUAGUAACUAUACAUGUAAGAGACGGUACCUAACCAGAAAGCCACGGCUAACUACGUG
This 499-nucleotide ribosomal RNA is filed under the name uncultured bacterium. Its description in RNAcentral is "partial 16S ribosomal RNA". It matches the Rfam family "Bacterial small subunit ribosomal RNA", at positions 28 to 507 of the family's 1533-position model. The record is from RNAcentral.